Solanum lycopersicum (tomato) is the source of this 547-nucleotide long non-coding RNA. RefSeq lists it as uncharacterized. NCBI's taxonomy places the organism in Eukaryota, Viridiplantae, Streptophyta, Magnoliopsida, Solanales, Solanaceae. The record is from RefSeq and is a predicted model, not a curated record.
CUUGAUCAUUCUACAUUACAAUGCACUAAUCGUUUCAAUCACACUUUUGUUGGUGAAACAAAUGAUGUUAUUUGGUACUCUGACUUGCUGCGGCCGCUCAUAUGACCCCAUAUGAAGAUAUUUUUCUGCGAAAAUCCCCUUAUAUUGGUCUUGAUUGUGUAUUCGUUGGACAAAGCUAUGGGUCAAACUCUCAAGGAAGAUUCCAGUGAGGGUAGCAUCUUCAUAUGUGUCUUCUCAUUCUCAAACAUGUGUUUCUAUUCGUCAAUCUGGAGAUAUUUGGCAUCAUCGAUUAGGCCAUACUGGAGUUCAAUUUUAGACUGUCUUGGGAAAAAUAAUUACAUUAGCUUGCUCAAUUUUGUUCAUAGUGAUUGUGUCCCUUGUCGGCUCAGAAAAUUACAAUGUGUACCCUUUUAAGUUGGAAGAUCACUGUAGUUCUUCUCCUUGUUCAUUCAGAUGUAUUUUGACAAUCAUUUGUUUAAUCGAACUUGGAAUUUGUUAUUUUUAUUGAUGAUUUUAUCUUAUGAAAAAUAAAUCAGAAGUGUUUUUA